This is a non-coding RNA of Lutra lutra (Eurasian river otter), 447 nucleotides long. The record is from the annotation of a RefSeq genome assembly. Lineage: Eukaryota; Metazoa; Chordata; Mammalia; Carnivora; Mustelidae.
AAGAAUGAAGAACAUUAUGAUGCUCCAGAGAUGAAGUGUUCUCCAGGCUUCAUGACUCUGGUACUCUUAAUGCUUGGACAAAUCCGUGGAGACUCAGUGACUCAGAUGGAAGGCCAAGUGACCCUCUUAGAAGAGGCUUCUCUGACUGUGAACUGCACUUAUUCAGCAUUAGGGUCCCUUACUCUUUUCUGGUAUGUCCAGUAUCCCAGUGAAGGUCUACAGCUCCUCCUGAAAGCCUUGAGGGACAAGGAGAAAGGAAGCAACAAAGGAUUUGAAGCCACCUACAACAGCAAAUCGAAAUCCUUCCACUUGGAGAAAGGCUCAGUGAAAGCCUCAGAUUCAGCUGUGUACUACUGUGCCCUGAGUAACACAGUGAUGGGGACUGUAGGGGGAGCUGAGCACAAACUGAGCAGAACAGGGGCCUGGAUGCUGAGCAUCUCUGCCUGA